AUUUUUCCUGAAAACAGACACGCCAGAGUGACCAUGGAUACCUUGUGCCAGAGCAGCGGUUCUUACCUAGGACACCUGGGGUCCACAAGAUGAGGAAAGACGCUCUGACCUUAAACUCACAACAAACAGUAACUAUGAUGUAACUUGUAGAAAGCUGGAAAGUUUGUAGCAUAUUUUCACAGACUUUUUUUGCAUCUUCCCUAAGUGACCUAGGUUAUAUGUCUGCCCAUCUCACAGAUGAAGUGGUUAAGGGCAUGAUACUUAAAUCAGGACCAGAACCCGAAGGAGAUCAAAGGCCUCACAGCAUUAGGGAGCUGCUGAUCCUUGCCCCCCCAAAGCUAAUCCCUGUGGGAGGUGGGGACCUUGUCCUCCUGGUCCCCUCCUUUUCACUAGCAAUACCCCUCUUAAGGGAUCUAAGCGAUACUCCUGUAUGCAAAGGUGGUCACAAAAUGGAGAUCACCACCUCUUAGCUAAUUAUUGUAGCCAACAAGGGGCUAAGGGGCUUGUGCUAAAUUACUUACAAUGUAUUUGGGCCUAGGGGAUGAAAGCGCGCCAAAAAGUAAGGUCUGAAAUACUUGCUCUGCUAAAGAAAAACGGCCUGUGUGUACUCAAAGGUCACAGACGAAAGGGCAUAAUCUCCGGGUGAUGACCAUUGGUGGGUAAUUGCUCCCAUCCACUUGCACGCACUCUGUAUUUUUACAUUUUGACAUGUUUCACACAUUACUUUGUAAAACUUCCCCAACACUGCUACAUCACAGUUCAGUGAAAAAGAAUAUUGAUUUUUGGGGUGGAGGGUGGGGGGAUGGGAACAAGAAUAGAAAGUGCAGGGAACUGCGCCGCCUCCCCAGAGGUGGCAGUGGUUGCCUCUCUGCCAAAACGAGUGUUUAGUCCUCGUCUUCGUCAACUGUCACUUUUUGCAUUCGACAUGACAAAAACUAGUAAAAGUGUCCUUGCUGCACAGGGCCAGCGACCAAUAUGCACCGCCCAAGGACAGCUAGAGGACCCGCGUGCAGCGACAGCCCAGCUGCAGCCUGAGAAAACUACUCCAACAAGUACCAAGCGAAGUGCGGCCCGAGGCGGGGCAGUUGGGGAAAAGCCAGUUCAGGCCACCACAGUGACCAGCAGGUCCUCACUGGCCCCUGGUCCACUGUGCAAUUAGUCACCUCCCCGACUCCCCCACCGCUCCAGAACAGCGCCCCGCCACUCCUUUCUGGAGAUGCUACUCAGGACGGCCCGGCCCACACAGCUGGGCCGCACCGCACUGCGGCUGCAGGGACUGGAACUGAGCCUGUCCAAUGAGCGCGGAGGCUAGGACGCGGCAGGCCGCCACGUCACGCCCGCUGCCAUUGGCCAGUGGCAAACCGGAAAUCUUCCUGAGCCGGUUGCCAUGGACGCCCAGCCAGCCAGAGCGAACCGCCCCACUGCAGCCUCCGGAACUCCCAGCAGGCGGCGCCGCGAGCAACCCGAAGACCCAGGGAUGUGCUGACUAACGAACGCUGGGCCAGCGUUCGUUAGUCAGCACAUCCCGCUGCUCAGGCCCAGCGGAGGGGCGGCAGCUGCUCCGGAGUGGGGGGCGCGGAGGGGGCCUUCUUCCAGAAAGUGCCGGAAGCAGGGCCUCACUAGGAGAUGGAGCGGAGUAUAACCCACUUUUGGGACACAGCAAGUCAAUCAAAUAUUCGGGCUUUGGAGCCUGAGUCUAAUCAAUUAUAAAGACAUUUAUGGGACAACUGGGGAAAUCCGGACCCUUGCACUAGAUGACGUAGGAAAUUGAGUCAUCGUCAAUUCUCCGGGAGCUCUGACAGCAAAAGAGAGCGAGCCAGACAACCAGGGAGAUGGCUUCAGGAAAGGGAAACUGCGGCAUGAACAGAACAGCUCCCUUUCCCCACAAUGACCCGCCUCCCUACUGCAACACGCGGCACAGCGACAGGGCCUGUUCAGAUAAGGACAGCUACCCUUUCAUCUUCCUUCACCAAGCACAGGUAGGAAAAGACACAACUCUUCUGUAGGAGGGUGAAACCUGAGAACAGCAGCAGGAAUGUGAAUGGACAGUAGGGCUGGCAGAGAGCUGCCGUGAAGCCAGAAGCAAUGCCAGUCUGCCAGGAGCCCCUGGGAACGUCUCUCUGCUCCACCAGAGGAGCCACAUCUGGAACUCUAAAAGGCCCUUCUUGUUCAUCUUCUCAACUCUCCGUGCUCACAUUUUUUAAGCAGAAGCUUCAGGACUUUUUAAGUGUGCCUGUUCAUAGCUUAACCCCACCACUAGGUCCAACGGGCUGCAGAAAAGUAAACCUGCGGUUUUUGCUUGGAUCCAAAGUUCUGUAUUUAAUGCUUCCGAGGAAAGCCCUUGAACUUGAGACCACCAUGGCCUGUACAAACUACAUGGAGAAAGGACUCGAUUUGUGUCCUGGUGUCUGCAGGGAGAUGCCUCCUGUUCCCUGGCACUCAGCCCCUCAAUGCUCUCAAAUGACAUGGGCACAGAAGAAAUUCUUGCAGGUUUUAUAAAGGUUCCAGUUCCAGGGCCAGCCUCACUCUCUGUGCUCGGUUUUAAACUCCCACUAGCCGGGUCCUGGGGGUAAGGAGCUUCUCAGCCUGGCCUCUUACCGUGGGCUCCAUGCCAUCCACGAUGCUCUGGAUCAGCCUCUUGAGCUCGCUGAGGGCGGUGCGCAAGCUGCCGGCCGGCACGUCCUUGGCAGACGAGGUUUCCGAAGACUCGUCCAUUGAGGAGUCCGUGGAGACGGCCGAGUCAGCACUGUCGUUGCCUCGAAGGUGUGAGCAGAGGUAGCGAACCUGGCAGUAGGCUUCCCAGAGCUGCAGUCUCAGCUGCCCACAAAGAAUUAUUCUCAAUUAUGGGCUCUGGAAAAUACUGCCACCUGGUCAUCCAUUCCCCAGGAUGUGAACCCGAGUGUCUAACUAAGUAAGAUACUGUUUUAGGAGAAAGGUUUUUUUUUUUUUAAAUCACCUGUUUCAAGAAAUACUAAUAGUUAUAUGGGCCUGGGACACCUACACAGACGCCCAGUUCUUAUUUUCCCUGCUCUCCAGUCCCCUACCAUUUUGCAAACAAAGCACCUCUUUAUAUAGUCACCUACUUUGGUGGGAGUCAGUGAAUGAUUAGCAGAAUGAGUUGUUAUGAGUAGUAUGAAAAAAAGCCAAGUGGAUGGAUCAUGAAUGAUCUAGAACCUUGCAAGUGUAAGAGAUAUGAGGCUAAUGACUAAUUAACAAGCAUUUCCUGAGGGGCACUAGGGUGAGAAUGAGCCAGAAACAUGCUCCGCUCAGGGCCCGCCUCAUGUCGGCUCUAGCCUGCGGGCCUAGGGGUGUGCACAGGCUAAUGCUGAAGCAGUAGGCGCUGGGCAACAGGUGGGCUGUUGGGCUCCUGAGGUCCAGGGCCUGCCCCCAUCCCGCGGCAGCCUCGCAUGCCAGAGUGACAGAGAUGUCAGCACCUGCUCUCUCUCCUGCUCCAGCUCCUCGGCCUCCAUGCUCUGCUCGAUCUCGGACAGGAGGGACGUGCUGGUGGCGGCAGAGCUCUGCAGGCUCCUCUCCUCGGUGAGCUCGUCCACCUUCCCCUGCAGCUGGCGGCAGGAGAGGCGCACCUCCUGGAGCUCCAGCUGGCUCUGAUGCAGCUUUCAAGGAGACAGCAAAUGGCAGUAAGGCUUCUCAAAACCAAAACGAACGAAGAAUGCUACCCAGAAGCUGAUCGUGUGUCCAGAUCCAACCACCAAUUUACAGGAAAAUACAGCGGGAGAAACACGCUCGACUACAGGAGGGGGGCACAGUCUGUGGAACUCAGAUUCAGGAAAUUCUACAUGACAAACAGCUCCAUUACUUCGACAGAUACACAUCCAGGGAAAAAGGAAAGAUAAAGGGGGAACCUACAGAUUAAAGGAGGUUUAAGACACCCCAACCAA
Long non-coding RNA from Artibeus jamaicensis (Jamaican fruit-eating bat), 3899 nucleotides. RefSeq lists it as uncharacterized. NCBI's taxonomy places the organism in Eukaryota, Metazoa, Chordata, Mammalia, Chiroptera, Phyllostomidae. The record is from RefSeq and is a predicted model, not a curated record. The transcript has 3 exons.